RNAcentral lists this ribosomal RNA (462 nucleotides) under uncultured bacterium. RNAcentral describes it as "partial 16S ribosomal RNA". It matches the Rfam family "Bacterial small subunit ribosomal RNA", at positions 28 to 507 of the family's 1533-position model. The record is from RNAcentral.
GACGAACGCUGGCGGCGUGCUUAACACAUGCAAGUCGAGCGGUAAGGCCUUUCGGGGUACACGAGCGGCGAACGGGUGAGUAACACGUGGGUGAUCUGCCCUGCACUUCGGGAUAAGCCUGGGAAACUGGGUCUAAUACCGGAUAUGACCUCCUAUCGCAUGGUGGGUGGUGGAAAGAUUUAUCGGUGCAGGAUGGGCCCGCGGCCUAUCAGCUUGUUGGUGGGGUAAUGGCCUACCAAGGCGACAACGGGUAGCCGACCUGAGAGGGUGACCGGCCACACUGGGACUGAGACACGGCCCAGACUCCUACGGGAGGCAGCAGUGGGGAAUAUUGCACAAUGGGCGAAAGCCUGAUGCAGCGACGCCACGUGAGGGAUGACGGCCUUCGGGUUGUAAACCUCUUUCAGCAGGGACGAAGCGCAAGUGACGGUACCUGCAGAAGAAGCACCGGCUAACUACGUG